Molecule: long non-coding RNA, 1285 nt
Organism: Homo sapiens (human)
Lineage: Eukaryota; Metazoa; Chordata; Mammalia; Primates; Hominidae
Exons: 5
Source: RefSeq, a predicted model, not a curated record
AUUUCAAACAUUUCAUUGAAGGAGAUCAAGAAAAUUAAUUACUGAUCAAGAGCCCACCUAAACUUGCAAGAAAACAAGCUUAUGUUACUAUAGAAGAAUGAGAGAUCACCUGGGCAAAUAUAAGACAUUUUAGAUGAUCCAUAAUAGAAUUACUAACCUCCAGUCUGUCUGCCAGCUCCACAAAGACACAAGAGCAAACCCAGAAAUUCUGAGAACCUUCCUUGAAAUCAUUGAACAGCAAAUGAACAAGCUGUUGCCAACCUGGGGUAGAAGACAGCAGAAUUCCAGCAAGUUUCCUGAAUGGAUUCCCAUUCACUGCUCUUGGACUUGGGAGAGCUCUGGUAAGAGACAGGGAAACCUUUCCUUUCCCCUUCCCAGGGACUCAGUAAAUAUGCAGGCACCACAGCCAGGGUAUUCAUUGAUCAGAUGUACAUCCCUCCUCCACAACAGACAAAUUGAUCACUCUGGAUCACCAAGAAGAUCUACGUUGUUUACAUAAUAACAAUAGUGGGGUUUAUUACAGUGUAAUAUUGUAAUGACUUUUUGUCCAGGAAACUUGUGAACAUCCCAUUUUUAUCCACAAACUGUUAUUCUUUCCUGCAAGGUCCCCAAGGGAAGUAUACACACAAUAUAAUUAAAACACAACAAAGAAGCAUUCUACUGUGCGUUUACCAUACACUCUAAAGUGGAAUUUCAAGACACUAAGCGAAAGCAUACUUUAUUUUAAAUGUUAGAUAUGCUGGUAUGUUUUGUACAAUCAAAUACUUAUGAGACCUGUUCUCUCCAUUUGUCCUAGUGAGGCAGGAAAUUAAAGAAAAAUAAAAUUAAAAAGAGAAAUAAGUUUUCCUGUAUUAGGCUAACUUGUCCCAGGCAGCAACAGGCACAGCCCAGACCCAGGAAAAUUCUUGCUAAUAUUAUCUAAUGUGCUCUGGAGGCUCUCCCAGCAUUCCCUCAACAUACGGAGAAGAAAAACCAAAUUUUCCUUUAUUUUAUGGAAUGAGUUUAUAGAUUCCUGUUCUCUGUAACUAGUGACUUCAAGUAUUGUUUUAUCUAAGAAGUACAACGAAGGUCAUGAGAAGCCUGAGUAGGCCUGAACUACAGCUGCCUGGGCACCAUAGUGAAGGUUAUGGGAUAAGCCCGUGCCUAGGCAAACCUAGAUAACGGACAUCUGGGUUGCAUAGCAAUGGUUAUGUGCAAUCCUACGUUAUACACCUGUUACAAUUUGAUUAACUGUCUUUGUCCUGCCUCUGUAUCCCUGCUUUCACACCACUGUAAGCUUGCUUCA